CCUACGGGUGGCUGCAGUGGGGAAUAUUGGACAAUGGGCGAAAGCCUGAUCCAGCCAUGCCGCGUGUGUGAAGAAGGCCUUCGGGUUGUAAAGCACUUUCAGUGGGGAAGAAAGCCUUGGGCUAAUACCCUCGAGGAAGGACAUCACCCACAGAAGAAGCACCGGCUAACUCCGUGCCAGCAGCCGCGGUAAUACGGAGGGUGCGAGCGUUAAUCGGAAUUACUGGGCGUAAAGCGCGCGUAGGCGGUCUGAUAAGCCGGUUGUGAAAGCCCCGGGCUCAACCUGGGAACGGCAUCCGGAACUGUCAGGCUAGAGUGCAGGAGAGGAAGGUAGAAUUCCCGGUGUAGCGGUGAAAUGCGUAGAGAUCGGGAGGAAUACCAGUGGCGAAGGCGGCCUUCUGGACUGACACUGACGCUGAGGUGCGAAAGCGUGGGUAGCAAACAGGAUUAGAUACCCCGGUAGUC
This 464-nucleotide ribosomal RNA is filed under the name Vreelandella stevensii. RNAcentral's name for it is "partial 16S ribosomal RNA". It matches the Rfam family "Bacterial small subunit ribosomal RNA", at positions 338 to 795 of the family's 1533-position model. The record is from RNAcentral. Lineage: Bacteria; Pseudomonadati; Pseudomonadota; Gammaproteobacteria; Oceanospirillales; Halomonadaceae.